This 211-nucleotide ribosomal RNA is filed under the name uncultured bacterium. RNAcentral describes it as "partial 16S ribosomal RNA". It matches the Rfam family "Bacterial small subunit ribosomal RNA", at positions 524 to 734 of the family's 1533-position model. The record is from RNAcentral.
UACAGAGGUGGCAAGCGUUGUUCGGAAUUACUGGGCGUAAAGGGCGCGUAGGCGGUUCGUUAAGUCCUGUGUGAAAUCCCCCGGCUCAACUGGGGAACUGCACAGGAACUAGCGGGCUUGAGUUCGGGAGAGGGAAGCGGAAUUCCGGGUGUAGCGGUGAAAUGCGUAGAUAUCCGGAGGAACACCGGUGGCGAAGGCGGCUUACCUGGAC